Molecule: ribosomal RNA, 442 nt
Filed under: uncultured bacterium
Lineage: Bacteria
Description: partial 16S ribosomal RNA
Rfam family: Bacterial small subunit ribosomal RNA
Source: RNAcentral
CCUACGGGGGGCAGCAGUGGGGGAUAUUGCACAAUGGGGGAAACCCUGAUGCAGCGACGCCGCGUGGGCGAAGAAGUAUUUCGGUAUGUAAAGCCCUAUCAGCAGGGAAGAAGAAAUGACGGUACCUGAGUAAGAAGCCCCGGCUAACUACGUGCCAGCAGCCGCGGUAAUACGUAGGGGACAAGCGUUAUCCGGAUUUACUGGGUGUAAAGGGAGCGUAGACGGAAAGGCAAGUCAGAAGUGAAAACCCAAGGCUCAACCAUGGGACUGCUUUUGAAACUGUCAAACUAGAGUACGGGAGAGGUAAGAGGAAUUCCUAGUGUAGCGGUGAAAUGCGUAGAUAUUAGGAGGAACACCAGUGGCGAAGGCGUCUUACUGGACCGAAACUGACGUUGAGGCUCGAAAGCGUGGGGAGCAAACAGGAUUAGAUACCCGAGUAGUC